Molecule: ribosomal RNA, 255 nt
Filed under: uncultured bacterium
Lineage: Bacteria
Description: partial 16S ribosomal RNA
Rfam family: Bacterial small subunit ribosomal RNA
Source: RNAcentral
AACGUAGGAGCCUAGCGUUAUCCGAAUUCACUGGGCGUAAAGCGCGUGCAGGCGGUUCGGUAAGUUGGAUGUGAAAUCUCCUGGCUCAACUGGGAGAGGACGUUCAAGACUGUCGGACUAGAGGACGGUAGAGGAAGGUAGAAUUCCCGGUGUAGUGGUGAAAUGCGUAGAUAUCGGGAGGAAUACCAGUGGCGAAGGCGGCCUUCUCGGGCCGUUCCGUGACGCUCAGACGCGAAAGCUAGGGGAGCAAACGGG